Actinoplanes regularis is the source of this 75-nucleotide non-coding RNA. It matches the Rfam family "ASpks TB sRNA". The record is from Rfam. NCBI's taxonomy places the organism in Bacteria, Bacillati, Actinomycetota, Actinomycetes, Micromonosporales, Micromonosporaceae.
CUUGAGCGAACCCAGCCACAACGGCUCCCCACCGGCCCGGUCCUGCCCGUAGGUCGCCAGCAGCGCCUGCGCCUC